UGAACUCCAGCUUGCUGGGAGGAUUAGUGGCGAACGGGUGAGUAACACGUGAGUAACCUGCCCUUGACUCUGGGAUAAGCGCUAGAAAUGGCGUCUAAUACCGGAUACGAGCUUCAGCCGCAUGGCUAGGAGUUGGAAAGAAUUUUGGUCAAGGAUGGACUCGCGGCCUAUCAGCUAGUUGGUGAGGUAAUGGCUCACCAAGGCGACGACGGGUAGCCGGCCUGAGAGGGUGACCGGCCACACUGGGACUGAGACACGGCCCAGACUCCUACGGGAGGCAGCAGUGGGGAAUAUUGCACAAUGGGCGAAAGCCUGAUGCAGCAACGCCGCGUGAGGGAUGACGGCCUUCGGGUUGUAAACCUCUUUUAGUAGGGAAGAAGCGAAAGUGACGGUACCUGCAGAAAAAGCACCGGCUAACUACGUGCCAGCAGCCGCGGUAAUACGUAGGGUGCAAGCGUUGUCCGGAAUUAUUGGGCGUAAAGAGCUCGUAGGCGGUUUGUCGCGUCUGCUGUGAAAUCUGGGGGCUCAACCCCCAGCCUGCAGUGGGUACGGGCAGACUAGAGUGCGGUAGGGGAGAUUGGAAUUCCUGGUGUAGCGGUGGAAUGCGCAGAUAUCAGGAGGAACACCGAUGGCGAAGGCAGAUCUCUGGGCCGUAACUGACGCUGAGGAGCGAAAGCGUGGGGAGCGAACAGGAUUAGAUACCCUGGUAGUCCACGCCGUAAACGUUGGGAACUAGAUGUGGGGGCCAU
This 749-nucleotide ribosomal RNA is filed under the name Frigoribacterium sp. RNAcentral describes it as "bacterial SSU rRNA". It matches the Rfam family "Bacterial small subunit ribosomal RNA", at positions 68 to 832 of the family's 1533-position model. The record is from RNAcentral. Lineage: Bacteria; Bacillati; Actinomycetota; Actinomycetes; Micrococcales; Microbacteriaceae.